CAAAGCGUAGCUUAAACUAAAGCACCUGGCUUACACCUAGAAGAUUUCAACUUAAAUCGAACGCUUUGA
This 69-nucleotide transfer RNA is filed under the name Chalinolobus morio (chocolate-wattled bat). RNAcentral's name for it is "tRNA-Val". It matches the Rfam family "tRNA". Rfam says of the family: Transfer RNA (tRNA) molecules are approximately 80 nucleotides in length. Their secondary structure includes four short double-helical elements and three loops (D, anti-codon, and T loops). The record is from RNAcentral. Lineage: Eukaryota; Metazoa; Chordata; Mammalia; Chiroptera; Vespertilionidae.